UUGCUUAUCCUGUCAGUAGGAUUACACAAUUAAUAAUAACUUCACUUGUAUUUUUGUUUAGUUUUGCACACCUAACCCCUAAGUUAGUAGGGUUGUUAACUUAUUAUAUAUUUAUAUAGUUGGAUAGGAAAGUUCAUACAAGUACUCUUGUUUAAUAGGGAUAUUAUGAUGGAACUAUGUUACACUACCAUAUCUCAGGUUAUGCCUUAUAUUAUUUUGAAUAUUUGAUUAUUUACUAAUUUUUUUAUUAUUUUUUAUAUCUUGUUAUUGAAUUUGCCAUAUUGGAAAGAUGUGGUUUUUAAUUUGUUAUUAGGUUACUCUAGUAAAAUUUGUCUCCAAUAUCUUAAACACUUUAUAAUAAUUUAUAUCCUUCUAUCCUACACACUAUGAUUCUGGAAUUAGGUUGGCAUUUUGACAUAUGUAUGGUUUCUUAAGUCUUUUAUUGAUUUCUUCUUGUGGACUAGUCUGUCGUUACUCUGUUAAUGGUAGUGAGUGAGUACGUGGGUUCGAAAUUCAGCAACUGAUCACUGCUAUCCGGUUUCGUAAUAUAUGUCCUCAUGGCAGAGUAGGCAGAUGUCUAUUCAUCAUCAGUUCCUAACCAUUCUUCUGUAAUUAGUCCAAGUAUUCCAGUUUUUUUUUACAAUUUAAUAGGGAAGUAUUUAGUUCAUAUUAGGUCUUUUACUUCAUAGUAUGUUUGUACUUUGAUAGUUGAUGGAUAAACAUGGAUAAAUAUCUUGCGCACUUGUUUAUAAAUCAAUGCUUAGGCCAUCCCUAUACAUAGUAGGUUUGUUAAGUCAGUAUUUGGAGUGUUUAGACAAAUGGGUUGUUCUUCAGAGUAUAUUCCCACUUUUCUUUCCUUAGGCAUUAGUCUUGCUAUUCAGAUUCUAGAAUAUUUCCUGAAUAAUUCCACGUAUGUGCAUUAAUCUGCAGUUUUAAUUAAAAUUGGUUGCCUGUUCUCGUCAAUUUUUUUUCUAAGUAUCACUUAUCAUAUUUUUUUUUCCUAUCACUUAUCAUAGUGUCAUAGAACUUCUAAGUUCACCAUUCAUUCUGUUUUCUUACUUAUUCUUACGUUAUUGGUACUUUAUCUGAGUCUGGUUAUUCUCAUACAUCUGUUAUAGCAACAUGCUAUAGUUAGCGAAUACCAGCACAAAAUAAGUUUAUGUAGUUUCUAUAAUAUUUUAGUCAAUACACUUUAGGUAUUUAUCUUACCUUUGAUUUAGUUAGGUUACAUCUCUGUUACUUAGUCUGUUAAGUAGUAAUUUAUUAUUCUGACUUAUUUUGAUUACUUAGUUUGGAUAGGAUCAUAUUACCGGAUGAGGGUGUAUGUAGACCUAAUUUAUUUAUUUUGUUCAGUAUUAGUUACCAUUGGAUCCAAUAAUUUAGUUUAUUUAGUAUUAGUAAGAAUUGGUCCAUAAAUUUUCCUGAUCGUUCUUCUUUGGAUAUACUCCUAUAUAAAUCUGGUGUCCAUUGAUAGUCCGAUUCUGGAUAAGUGUCCGAUUUUUCAUUUAUUUUGUAUAUUUGGUUGGAUAGGUUCGUAUCACCGGAUGUGGGUGUACGUAGACCUGAUCUGUUUAUGUGGUUUAGUAUUGGUGUGAAUUGGUCCAUAAAUUUGCCUGGUCGUCCUUCUUUGGAUAUGCCUUUUAUGAAUCUGGUGUCCACUGAUAGUUCGACUUUGGAUUACGUGUCCGAUUCCAUAUUUAUUUUGGUUAUUGAGUUUUGGAUUCCUUUGGUAUGUUUAUUAUUGGUAUUAUUUGGCAUUAGUGAGAGUUGUUCCCUAAAUCUUCCUGAUUGUUCUUCUCUGGAUAUACUAUUAUGAAUCUGGUGUCCAUUGUUAGUUCAAUUUUGGAUUAAGUGUUCAAUUCUUUACUUAUUUUAGUUACUGAUUUUUUUUAUUCACUUUGAUACAUUUACUUGUGAUAUGGUUCGAAUUGGCUCACACCUUUUCCUGGUUGUUCCGUCCUUGGAUAUACCCUUUAUAAAUCUGAUGUCCAUGGAUAGUUCAAUUUUGGUUUUAGUGCUCAAUUCGACACAUAGUUAUUAUUAUGAACUUUAGUAAAUAUUUAGUUUUGUUUUGACUUUUAAGCCAUAUUAUGUCAAUAUUUGGUAGCAGAGAGUAACAUAGUAACAUUUUAGUAUAAAUUUGAGUCAUAUAUUUAUUUAUUUUUCCUUGAUCAUUAGUUUAUGCUUAUUGGUAGUCUUGCGAAUCAACGUGGAUUGUUAGACUAUUGUAAAUUUAGUUGUUAAUAUUUUGAAGUUUAGGAAAACAAAAAUUUUUGACAAAAAAUUUUUUUUUCCGAGUAGAAGGGGAUUGUAACGGUUCACGUUACGAGAUUAGAUCUUUAAUUAUUUUUAUAAUUAUUUCCCCUCGGUCUCUCAUUUGAUUUCUUUCAACUUCUCUAAUUUUCUCGUAAAUAAAUAUUUAAGUGACGUCACACUUCAGAGUAUGGAACAUACUCUACACCUCGGGUAAUAAUUUGAUUCGUGUGCUGAGAAUUUGACGUUUUGCUCUGUGAAGUGGCGAGACGAGAGACUUCACUUGUGGCUGGGGAUUUGGUUAGUAUGGAUGGCGUGUGAGGAUCAAAUUUGGAGGUUAGACCUCGUGUUAGUAAAAAUGUGUGACUUUUGAAUUAUGGAUCACCAAACCUAUCUAGGAGUGUUUGGGAAUAAAGAAGGUAUUAAUCCAAUGGGGUUUACAGCAUAACAUCAUCGUAUCACACGCCAUCCAUGUGAAAUCUUAAAUAACACCUUGAAACACCAAGAGGCCAAUCUCCAUCCAUAAGUCAUCAUGGGAGUAUGUCUAACUGGGAGCAAGCUAUGGGAGCGUUCCAGCUCAGUUUUCGUCUUGGCACCUGGGCCUACAGGAGUCAUGGGGUCGCACCAUCCUGGUGCAUCAUUUUCUAGGAUGCAACCGCAACCUUUUUAGGAAUCAUUGGGAUUCGUUUGGGAACAAUUAGUGUGUUUUAGUAACUAUUGGUUUUUUUUACAUUUCAUACUCUCGGUUUAAUGCACUAUGUUAAUUAAUUUUUUUUUCCAGAUUUAGUUUACUUCUGGUUUUUUUUUAAUAUAACAUAUUUGUAUAUUAUUGUAUUUGGUUCCCAAACUUUGUAUCUACGGUAACUUCUUGUGCACAGGAAUAAGCCUAGAGAAAAUUAGGAUUUAAUACUUUAUUAUUGCUUUGAUAUUGGUUUAUGUAAUUCGGGUAAAUUUAUUUUGUAAUAUUACUUGCUUGUUUCCCAAAUAUUUUAUUGUUAUUCGCUUUAUUCCAUUUGUUCGGAUAAUUUAGGUCAUCGUCGGUAUUUAUCUCAACUUCAUUUUUAUUUAUAUUUAACUUACUUACUUCAUUAUUGUAUUUUCCCUUAGUGAGGCUUGGGCCUAUUUAUUUGUAUUAUUUUCAUCUUUGUCGGUUUCAUUUAGUUGUACGUAGCAAUCGUAUUAUAACCAUUGGGGUAGAAAUCUCAUGUGAGUUGUACGCUAUAUGUUAGCAAAAGGUACUUAUACCUUUAAGUUUUGUAACAGGUAACAUUAUUAUUAUUUUAGGCAAAUAUAGCUUUUAUAUAACAUAUGUCAUUUUAGAGUCACAUUAUAUUUAAUUUGUCUAACUCAGAGAUUGUUAAAAAUCUGGUAGUUAAUUUGAAUAAAUAUUUACUUAUUUUGUA
This 3656-nucleotide long non-coding RNA is filed under the name Diabrotica virgifera virgifera (western corn rootworm). Its description in RNAcentral is "uncharacterized LOC126879586". The record is from RNAcentral. Lineage: Eukaryota; Metazoa; Arthropoda; Insecta; Coleoptera; Chrysomelidae.